RNAcentral lists this transfer RNA (91 nucleotides) under Ignisphaera aggregans DSM 17230. It matches the Rfam family "tRNA". From Rfam's summary of the family: Transfer RNA (tRNA) molecules are approximately 80 nucleotides in length. Their secondary structure includes four short double-helical elements and three loops (D, anti-codon, and T loops). Further hydrogen bonds mediate the characteristic L-shaped molecular structure. tRNAs have two regions of fundamental functional importance: the anti-codon, which is responsible for specific mRNA codon recognition, and the 3' end, to which the tRNAs corresponding amino acid is attached (by aminoacyl-tRNA synthetases). tRNAs cope with the degeneracy of the genetic code in two manners: having more than one tRNA (with a specific anti-codon) for a particular amino acid; and 'wobble' base-pairing, i.e. permitting non-standard base-pairing at the 3rd anti-codon position. Lineage: Archaea; Thermoproteati; Thermoproteota; Thermoprotei; Desulfurococcales; Desulfurococcaceae. The record is from Rfam by way of RNAcentral.
GGGCCCGUAGCUCAGCCAGGAUAGAGCGCCGGCCUCCUAAAGAUAGAUCCAGGGAAGCCGGUGGUCGGGGGUUCGAAUCCCCCCGGGCCCG